Molecule: long non-coding RNA, 546 nt
Organism: Xiphophorus maculatus (southern platyfish)
Lineage: Eukaryota; Metazoa; Chordata; Actinopteri; Cyprinodontiformes; Poeciliidae
Exons: 2
Source: RefSeq, a predicted model, not a curated record
UGGGCAUAGAAACUUCUGGAAGAAGCUGACGAAUGUAGGUCGAGAGGAUUCCCUCCAAACAACUUCCGGUUUCAUCUGACCUAGUUAAAGUUUGUUAAAGAGGAAGCACAGAAAACAAUCCACCCCUCAUGGAGAAAACAUGGAACAGUGGUGAACUUUCCCAGGAGAGAUUGGCUGACUGCCACUGCCGCGACUUGAGCUCGCUGUUUCCAAAAUUAUUUCAAGAGCAGAUCCAGGUAUCAUCCAGGAUAUCACAAAAGAACCCAGUACAGCAUCUACAGCACCACAGCCCUCACUUGCCUCAGUCAAGGUGCUCAUAAUGCAAUAAUAAAAACAAAAUAGGAAAAAACAUGGCAUCCAUGAAAAAGUUCCAAAGCAAGAACUACUGUUAUCCAAGAUGAACACUGAGGCCCAUCGAUCCAAUAACUUUUGGGAACAUUGAUACCAAACUGUAACUUUUUAGAGGGUGAAUAUCUUGUUACAUCUCACAUAAACCAUUCAGAAUAAAGAACCUCAUACCAACAGUCAAAUGUGGUAGUGAUAACA